GAACUGUAGGUUUAGUGACUUAAUGAAAGGUCCCCCUUCUGUUUGAGAUACUGGAGUAUGGCUAGAUAGUUCAGGUUAGUAGAAUACCUUUUUGUUGUCAAGGCUUCAUAUUAUUUAUGAGUAAAGUUUGUUUUAUUCAUUUUCUUGCAGAUUCACUCAGCUGAAGUGAGGUCUUUGUUUUGGGGCUUUUGGGAAUGGAAGAGAAGAUGUUACAAAGACUAGAACAUAGCUGCCUCAUUCCUCCUGGUCUAGCCCAAGAUAUUGUACUUGGUGGUGCUUUGAAUUCAGAAGGAAAAAUUGACUUACACACCACAUUGACUCUAUUGGCAUUUUCUCCCCAGAAGGCAGUGGAUUGUUUUUCAGAGCUCCAAAGGACAUGUGUGCGAUCGCGUUACCUGCCUUCACUGACUUCAUGUGUGGAGAGGGAGUGGAGAGGGCCAAUACUACCUUAACACAGAUGUAAUUAUGUGGUAGAUCCAGAACAAUAUUCACAUAUGUUCAGUGGAGGAAUGAGACUGAGAGGAAAGCAAGA
RNAcentral lists this long non-coding RNA (532 nucleotides) under Anser brachyrhynchus (Pink-footed goose). RNAcentral describes it as "lncRNA (ENSABRG00000019493.1)". Lineage: Eukaryota; Metazoa; Chordata; Aves; Anseriformes; Anatidae. The record is from RNAcentral.